AGAUAGAUUAGGUUUAGUGUUAGAAUUUAGAUUAAACAAGCAGAGUCUGAUUUUCAAAACCAAAAACCAAAACCAACAUAGCACCCUAGAACUCUGGGAGCAAACACCCUGGAGCCAGGCUGAGCACACAGGGCAGCCACGUGGGGGUCUCCACCACCCAAGGAACCCUGGCUCCUCAGGAGGGGCCACAAAACAGGCCCUCAAUAAGUAUUUAUAGAACAAAUGAGUGAAUGAAUUUCGCUUGAAUUAAACAUGACUCGUCCACGCCUGGCAUAAUUCCUUUUCAUUCCAGUGAACGGAAGCCCGGCUGAGAGCAGGGAAGUUCCCUGAGCUGCCCAGCUGCCUAGGGGCUUUUCCGGCCUGGGCCAAGGCAGGAGGAAGCCCCAACUAACUCAUAGUCACUCCUCAGAAUACUUUUAUUAAAGGGGAAAAAAUCACCAAUGAUGAUAUCCAGUGACAAGCUUCUGCCACCCACACAUUCCACGUUCCACCUGGCCAUGAGCUGGUUUCAGUCUCAGGGCACAAGCAACACAAGUCAGAAUUUUUUUUUUUUUCUUUUAAUCUUUGGGGAAGAAACAGAAAAGGAGGAGAAAGCAGAGUAACAAGUGCAGAUUAAAUAUGAGGCAGGUCCAGGCUUUUGAUACCACUGUGUUUAACUCACCAAAUAAUCAGAGCAUUAAAUGCAGGCAUAAUUUGUCAGCAAGCUCCCUCCAUUGUUCCCUGAAGCAUGCGGGGUUGGGGGGGGGGUGUGGGCUAAUUCAAUUCACGUGGGAAUCGGUGUUUACAUCCACGAGUCCUAAUGGAAGGGCACACCAUUUUCAAACUGGAACAAAUAAAUCAUAAUGCCCUUUGCCACUAAAACCGGGGACCUUGCGAUGCCUCUCUCUUGGUGGACGAGCUACAUUUGGAAGGACGUUUUCUUCAGUGUGGAAAUCUCCACUUGCUGGCUACUGCAGCAAGUCCCAGAAGAAAGCCAGGUGCAUGGCAGUCCAUCUCUCCGGCGGAACCCUGUUUCAUGGCCUGCGGGUGCUGCGGGGCGGUGGACACUCGCUUGUAGCAUCCGGAUGGAAGCGGAACCACCUCCGUCCGCGUGGCCGCGGCCUCCCAAGAAACCGGAGCAGGUCAAGGAGGCGCGGUCCAGACCGGCCAGCAGGGGACGCCGCGGGCCCUGUCGAAACAAAGGCUCGCGGGCGGGAGCCGGGAAGUGGGGGGCGGCACCGGGGGGCCGGUGGGGCGGGGGGGGAUCUCCACCCCGCGCCCUCCGCAGCCCAAACCCGCCCGCGGCCCGGGGGCUGACCCAGGGCAGCCCGGCCCCCUGGGAGGGGACGGGCGGGGGUGACCUGGUGUCUUUCCCAAGAUGGUUCCCACGGGCCGCGCGGUCGCGGGCAUCUGUCCCCGGGUCACCGACGGGCUUCCCCGCGGCGCAGCGCGGCCGCCCGGGGGUGCUGCGAGGCGGGGACCCCAGGCCCGCGUGGGCACAGCCGCCGAGGCCUGCGCCAUCCCGGGGGGCAGGUCCUCCCGCCCGCGCCGCCCGCCCCCCGGCCACUCCCUGCGGUGACCUCAUUCCGGGGUCGCGCCGAGCAGCCUGCCUUCCGCGCCCGGGACCUUGCAGGCUUUUGCGUUUGCACACGCGGCGCGGGCGGCCUCGUCCUUAG
Long non-coding RNA from Bos indicus x Bos taurus (hybrid cattle), 1655 nucleotides. The record is from Ensembl. Lineage: Eukaryota; Metazoa; Chordata; Mammalia; Artiodactyla; Bovidae.